Molecule: long non-coding RNA, 2154 nt
Filed under: Nicotiana benthamiana
Lineage: Eukaryota; Viridiplantae; Streptophyta; Magnoliopsida; Solanales; Solanaceae
Description: long non-coding RNA (NBEN_LNC024361)
Source: RNAcentral
GGAGACCCUUAUACCCCUCCAAGACUUCUCUCUUAUUCACACUCAACCUAGAGAAUCUGUCGCCUACCACCGCACGCCGCCGAUCGGAAAUCGCCUUCACCGGCGGCGGUUGUCCAAUGGCCCUGGAAUUUACACCUUGUCCUCUUCUUCACCUCCUCGUUCCAUAUAUGCCAUUGGUUUAUUUCAAACAUCACCCAAACGUUUUGAAUAAUCCAAACCCUAGAUGCCGUCUCUGCCGCCACGGCAGCACCAACUCCAAACCCGUCCAAAAUUACACCCUGAACUCAUCUCAUCUUCUUCUUGCUAAAUCCAUAAACCAUUGCCUUCAAAUCUCAGCCAAUCCUCUCGAAUCUGAAAUAAAAAAUCCGGCCAAAACACCACCAUCUCCAAAUUCUGCCUAAUUAACAUAACAUUAUAUUCUUAUACCCCUCAUACCAAAUCCACAACCCUUAACUUUCGAAUCAUCUCCGUUUGGUUCGAAUCUCAGAUUGAAAUUUUGGCUAGAAACCCUAACUUAUUAAUGCUUGGGGAUAAAUGGUUUUCGGGCUACAAUAGCCCUUAAUUAGGCGUUUUCUCACGGAAAUACCUAAUUAGGGAUGAUUAUAGUCCGAAUUUGUCAACGAAAGGGCCACUGGAUUCGAGUUUGAGGUAUUUCUAUCUUUUGUUGUUUAUUCUUUGAUUCGUGAAUGUUAUUCUCCUAGUUUGUUAAUUUUUGUUUGCUAAUUUCAGUAUACUUGCCAUUGAUUUUUUUAGGGUUAGUUUUAAUCCGGUAAGUUUUUCUUCUUAGUUUGAUUAGUUCUCUGCUAUGUUUAAUUCCAUUAUCAUAAGCUUUCGAUUUCUUUUUUAGUUCAAUAUUUGUUGUUAUUCAUGACUGGUUCCAUUCUAGUGGUGUUUGAUUGUUUUAUUCUGUUUAAUUAUGUUUUGUGAUCCUUAUUUAGUUUAAUCAUGUGUUUUGAUUUAGUUAGUAAUUUCUUAUUGUGGCCUUUAAUUAGAUUUUAUUAGUUUAGUUGUUUGAAUAUAGUUGAAUUAGGAUUUUUGAGUUUAACUAUAGUCAAAUCUUAACUAAGGUGAAGGGGCCGGGGGUUUACUUAGUACUGGUUUAGUAAUUUCAUAAUAAGGACAAGGGUAAUAUAGAUUUUUUUCAAUUAAAGAAUAUUGCAAUAACAGAAAUUAGAAUUCAAUAGAAGCUUCUAGUAGGGGAUCAAAUAGUAAACAAUGAGUCAACUUGACCAACAAGCUAAUAAUUGAGGGAUUUUUAAAUAAAAACGAAAAUUAAGAAAGGAUUGUAAUGCAAAACUGAAAAUCUGACGGCUGCCCUCAUUUCUGCCUAUAAAAGGCAUGUCUAGUGCCUAAAUUAACAGGUUUCACAAUCUGAAAAUUCCCCCCCAGAUUUCCACAAGCCUUCAUAAGCUGAAGAUUUGAAUUUCAAAUCCAAAAACUCUAGAUCUAUCUAUUCAAAGACCAAAAAAACAACAUAAAACCUUCCAAAAUCCCAAAAAUACCGUUCUAUUGGAACGUUUCUUAGAUUAAUUUCAAGUACUAGUUACAGAUUCGAAUUUCUAGCCUAAAAAAAUAUGAAAUGACUUGAGAAUUCCUUGUUGUUUGGUUGCUGAAACUUCAAAGUGUUCAUGGGUUAAUUUCGAGUGUUUUGGGUUCAAUCAGGCUAUUUUUGGUCUUCUAUUGGUAAUGUACUUCUGUAGUUUCUUCCUGGGUCUUGUGAAGAUAUUUUUGUUUAAAAACUGCUCAUGUUCAUGUGGUUUAACAUUGCCGAUUGAUAGCUAUUGUUGCUGACCUCUCCUUCUUCUUAUUUUAUUUCAACUUCCAGUACACAUCCUGUAAAUUUCGAGUUUAUGGACAUGAAAUGAAGUGAUGAUUGAUUCUCCGAGUGUUUCCCUAUUGUAUUUCGUGUUAGUUUUAGGAUAAAUUUCAAUUUGUAAUUAAACAUGAUUGUUUUGGACUAUGGACUGUUAAACUAGUCUGGCAUUUUCUUAUGAUCAUAUGAGUUUUGUAUUUAGUAGUGUUAGCUUGACUUUAUUUGAAAUUUAGAGUUUGUGUUACUAUGAGUUAAUUCGAAAUAUCAACUUAUAGUUCGUGUUUCAGAUUCUUCCUCUUCAAUGCUAGUCGAGUUUUAUCAACUCAAAUGAUUAGAUGUUG